RNAcentral lists this ribosomal RNA (443 nucleotides) under uncultured bacterium. RNAcentral describes it as "partial 16S ribosomal RNA". It matches the Rfam family "Bacterial small subunit ribosomal RNA", at positions 338 to 795 of the family's 1533-position model. The record is from RNAcentral.
CCUUCGGGGGGCAGCAGUGGGGAAUAUUGGGCAAUGGAGGCAACUCUGACCCAGCAACGCCGCGUGAAUGAUGAAGGUCUUCGGAUUGUAAAGUUCUGUGAUUGGGGAUGAACACAAUGACGGUACCCCAAUAGCAAGCCACGGCUAACUACGUGCCAGCACCCGCUGUAAUACGGAGGUGGCGAGCGUUAGCCGGAAUGACUGGGCGUAAAGGGUGCGUAGGUGGUUUAGUAAGUUGGCGGUGUAAUUCCGGGGCUCAACCUCGGCGCUACCGCCAAGACUAGUAGACUAGAGUGCAGGGAGGGUAAGUGGAAUUCGUAGUGUAGCGGUGGAAUGCGUAGAUAUUAGGAGGAACAUCAGGGGCGAAGGCGACUUACUGGACUGUAACUGACACUGAGGCACGAAAGCGUGGGGAGCGAACAGGAUUAGAUACCCUUGUAGUC